GAUGAACGCUGGCGGCGUGCUUAACACAUGCAAGUCGAACGGAAAGGCCCUGCGUUUGUGGGGUGCUCGUGGGGCGCACGGGUGAGUAACACGUGAGUAUCCUGCCCUUGUCUUUCGGAUAACUUCAGGAAACUGGGGCUAAUACCAGAUAGGAGCUCCUGCAGCAUGGUGGGGGUUGGUAAGUUUCGGCGGUUGGGGCUGGACUAGCUGCUUAUCAGCUUGUUUGUGGGGUAGGGGCUUUCCAAGUCUUUGGAUGGUAGCCGGCCUGAGAGGGUGAACAGCGACAAGGGUACUGCGAGACGGCCCAGAAGGCUAUGGUAGGCAGCAGUGGGGAACAUGGCACAGUGGGCGCAAGUCUGAGGCAGCAACGCUGCGUGCGUGAUGACCUCUUUCUGGUGGAAAACCGCUGUCGCCUGAGACGAAGCGUUAGUGACGGUAAUGGGUAAAGAAGCACCGGCUAACUACGUG
This 468-nucleotide ribosomal RNA is filed under the name uncultured bacterium. RNAcentral describes it as "partial 16S ribosomal RNA". It matches the Rfam family "Bacterial small subunit ribosomal RNA", at positions 28 to 507 of the family's 1533-position model. The record is from RNAcentral.